UACGGAGGGUGCAAACGUUGCUCGGAAUCAUUGGGCGUAAAGCGCACGUAGGCGGCCGAUUAAGUCGGAUGUGAAAGCCCCGGGCUCAACCCGGGAAGUGCAUACGAAACUGGUCGGCUUGAAUAUGGAAGAGGGUCGCGGAAUUCCCGGUGUAGAGGUGAAAUUCGUAGAUAUCGGGAGGAGCACCAGUGGCGAAGGCGGCGACCUGGGCCAAUAUUGACGCUGAGGUGCGAAAGCGUGGGGAGCAAACAGG
This 253-nucleotide ribosomal RNA is filed under the name uncultured bacterium. Its description in RNAcentral is "partial 16S ribosomal RNA". It matches the Rfam family "Bacterial small subunit ribosomal RNA", at positions 524 to 776 of the family's 1533-position model. The record is from RNAcentral.